This 562-nucleotide ribosomal RNA is filed under the name uncultured bacterium. Its description in RNAcentral is "bacterial SSU rRNA". It matches the Rfam family "Bacterial small subunit ribosomal RNA", at positions 8 to 524 of the family's 1533-position model. The record is from RNAcentral.
AGAGUUUGAUCCUGGCUCAGGAUGAACGCUGGCGGCGUGCCUAAUACAUGCAAGUCGAACGCUUUGUGGUUCAACUGAUUUGAAGAGCUUGCUCAGAUAUGACGAUGGACAUUGCAAAGAGUGGCGAACGGGUGAGUAACACGUGGGAAACCUACCUCUUAGCAGGGGAUAACAUUUGGAAACAGAUGCUAAUACCGUAUAACAAUGACAACCGCAUGGUUGUUAUUUAAAAGAUGGUUCUGCUAUCACUAAGAGAUGGUCCCGCGGUGCAUUAGCUAGUUGGUAAGGUAAUGGCUUACCAAGGCGAUGAUGCAUAGCCGAGUUGAGAGACUGAUCGGCCACAAUGGGACUGAGACACGGCCCAUACUCCUACGGGAGGCAGCAGUAGGGAAUCUUCCACAAUGGGCGAAAGCCUGAUGGAGCAACGCCGCGUGUGUGAUGAAGGGUUUCGGCUCGUAAAACACUGUUGUAAGAGAAGAAUGACAUUGAGAGUAACUGUUCAAUGUGUGACGGUAUCUUACCAGAAAGGAACGGCUAAAUACGUGCCAGCAGCCGCGGUAAU